This 450-nucleotide ribosomal RNA is filed under the name uncultured organism. Its description in RNAcentral is "partial 16S ribosomal RNA". It matches the Rfam family "Bacterial small subunit ribosomal RNA", at positions 331 to 797 of the family's 1533-position model. The record is from RNAcentral.
GUACACUCCUGCGGGAGGCAGCAGUGGGGAAUAUUGGACAAUGGGCGCAAGCCUGAUCCAGCCAUGCCGCGUGAGUGAUGAAGGCCCUAGGGUUGUAAAGCUCUUUCACCGGUGAAGAUAAUGACGGUAACCGGAGAAGAAGCCCCGGCUAACUUCGUGCCAGCAGCCGCGGUAAUACGAAGGGGGCUAGCGUUGUUCGGAUUUACUGGGCGUAAAGCGCACGUAGGCGGACUAUUAAGUCAGGGGUGAAAUCCCGGGGCUCAACCCCGGAACUGCCUUUGAUACUGGUAGUCUUGAGUUCGAGAGAGGUGAGUGGAAUUCCGAGUGUAGAGGUGAAAUUCGUAGAUAUUCGGAGGAACACCAGUGGCGAAGGCGGCUCACUGGCUCGAUACUGACGCUGAGGUGCGAAAGCGUGGGGAGCAAACAGGAUUAGAUACCCGGGUAGUCCCA